AUUGAACGCUGGCGGCAGGCUUAACACAUGCAAGUCGAGCGGGGGAAGGUAGCUUGCUACCGGACCUAGCGGCGGACGGGUGAGUAAUGCUUAGGAAUCUGCCUAUUAGUGGGGGACAACAUCUCGAAAGGGAUGCUAAUACCGCAUACGUCCUACGGGAGAAAGCAGGGGAUCUUCGGACCUUGCGCUAAUAGAUGAGCCUAAGUCGGAUUAGCUAGUUGGUGGGGUAAAGGCCUACCAAGGCGACGAUCUGUAGCGGGUCUGAGAGGAUGAUCCGCCACACUGGGACCGAGACACGGCCCAGACUCCUACGGGAGGCAGCAGUGGGGAAUAUUGGACAAUGGGGGGAACCCUGAUCCAGCCAUGCCGCGUGUGUGAAGAAGGCCUUAUGGUUGUAAAGCACUUUAAGCGAGGAGGAGGCUACUUUAGUUAAUACCUAGAGAUAGUGGACGUUACUCGCAGAAUAAGCACCGGCUAACUCUGU
This 484-nucleotide ribosomal RNA is filed under the name uncultured bacterium. Its description in RNAcentral is "partial 16S ribosomal RNA". It matches the Rfam family "Bacterial small subunit ribosomal RNA", at positions 30 to 506 of the family's 1533-position model. The record is from RNAcentral.